UGGGAACAUACCUUUUGGUUCGGAACAACACAUGGAAACUUGUGCUAAUACCGGAUAAGCCCUUACGGGGAAAGAUUUAUCGCCGAAAGAUUGGCCCGCGUCUGAUUAGCUAGUUGGUGAGGUAACGGCUCACCAAGGCGACGAUCAGUAGCCGGCCUGAGAGGGCGAUCGGCCACACUGGAACUGAGACACGGUCCAGGCUCCUACGGGAGGCAG
RNAcentral lists this ribosomal RNA (216 nucleotides) under uncultured bacterium. Its description in RNAcentral is "partial 16S ribosomal RNA". It matches the Rfam family "Bacterial small subunit ribosomal RNA", at positions 118 to 351 of the family's 1533-position model. The record is from RNAcentral.